Molecule: transfer RNA, 90 nt
Filed under: Clunio marinus
Lineage: Eukaryota; Metazoa; Arthropoda; Insecta; Diptera; Chironomidae
Rfam family: tRNA
About the family: Transfer RNA (tRNA) molecules are approximately 80 nucleotides in length. Their secondary structure includes four short double-helical elements and three loops (D, anti-codon, and T loops).
Source: Rfam by way of RNAcentral
CCUUCGAUAGCUCAGUUGGUAGAGCGGUGGACUGUAGUGGAAUUUUAAGCAGUAAUCCAUAGGUCGCUGGUUCAAAUCCGGCUCGAAGGA